This 401-nucleotide ribosomal RNA is filed under the name uncultured bacterium. Its description in RNAcentral is "bacterial SSU rRNA". It matches the Rfam family "Bacterial small subunit ribosomal RNA", at positions 356 to 773 of the family's 1533-position model. The record is from RNAcentral.
AGGGAAUCUUGCGCAAUGGGCGAAAGCCUGACGCAGCAAUGCCGCGUGCGGGACGAAGGCCCUAGGGUCGUAAACCGCUUUCAGUAGGGACGAAAAUGACGGUACCUGCAGAAGAAGCUCCGGCCAACUACGUGCCAGCAGCCGCGGUGAUACGUAGGGAGCAAGCGUUGUCCGGAAUUACUGGGCGUAAAGGGCUCGUAGGUGGUUGAGUAAGUCAGAUGUGAAAUCUCAGGGCCCAACCCUGGGCGUGCAUUUGAUACUGCUCUGACUAGAGUCCGGUAGGGGAGUGCGGAAUUCCUGGUGUAGCGGUGAAAUGCGCAGAUAUCAGGAGGAACACCGACAGCGAAGGCAGCACUCUGGGCCGGUACUGACACUGAGGAGCGAAAGCAUGGGUAGCAAAC